Molecule: ribosomal RNA, 562 nt
Filed under: uncultured bacterium
Lineage: Bacteria
Description: bacterial SSU rRNA
Rfam family: Bacterial small subunit ribosomal RNA
Source: RNAcentral
CCUACGGGAGGCAGCAGCGAGGAAUUUUGCGCAAUGGGCGAAAGCCUGACGCAGCAACGCCGCGUGGGGGACGAAGGCCUUCGGGUCGUAAACCCCUUUUGCAGGGGAAGCAACUGACGGUACCCUGCGAACAAGCCACGGCUAACUACGUGCCAGCAGCCGCGGUAAUACGUAGGUGGCAAGCGUUGUCCGGAUUUACUGGGCGUAAAGCGCGCGCAGGCGGCUCGCCAAGUCCGGGGUGAAAUCUCCCGGCUCAACCGGGAGGGGUCUCUGGAUACUGGCAGGCUUGAGGGGAGCAGAGGAGAGUGGAAUUCCCGGUGUAGUGGUGAAAUGCGUAGAUAUCGGGAGGAACACCAGUGGCGAAGGCGGCUCUCUGGGCUCUGCCUGACGCUGAGGCGCGAAAGCGUGGGGAGCGAACCGGACUAGAUACCCGGGUAGUCCACGCUGUAAACGAUGGACACUAGGUGUGGGAGGUAUCGACCCCUUCCGUGCCGAAGCUAACGCCAUAAGUGUCCCGCCUGGGGAGUACGGCCGCAAGGCUAAAACUCAAAGGAAUUGACGG